Molecule: ribosomal RNA, 563 nt
Filed under: Hyphomicrobium sp. Is-B031
Lineage: Bacteria; Pseudomonadati; Pseudomonadota; Alphaproteobacteria; Hyphomicrobiales; Hyphomicrobiaceae
Description: bacterial SSU rRNA
Rfam family: Bacterial small subunit ribosomal RNA
Source: RNAcentral
AGUGAGUAACGCGUGGGAACCUUCCCAAUGGUACGGAAUAGCUCAGGGAAACUUGAGGUAAUACCGUAUAAGCCCCUAGGGGGAAAGAUUUAUCGCCAUUGGAUGGGCCCGCGUCGGAUUAGCUAGUUGGUGAGGUAAUGGCUCACCAAGGCGACGAUCCGUAGCUGGUUUGAGAGAAUGACCAGCCACACUGGGACUGAGACACGGCCCAGACUCCUACGGGAGGCAGCAGUGGGGAAUCUUGGACAAUGGGCGCAAGCCUGAUCCAGCCAUGCCGCGUGAGUGACGAAGGCCUUAGGGUUGUAAAGCUCUUUUGCCGGGGACGAUAAUGACGGUACCCGGAGAAUAAGUCCCGGCUAACUUCGUGCCAGCAGCCGCGGUAAUACGAAGGGGACUAGCGUUGUUCGGAAUUACUGGGCGUAAAGCGCACGUAGGCGGAUUGCUAAGUCAGGGGUGAAAUCCCGGGGCUCAACCUCGGAACUGCCUUUGAUACUGACAAUCUCGAGUCCGAUAGAGGUGGGUGGAAUUCCUAGUGUAGAGGUGAAAUUCGUAGAUAUUAGGAA